This 485-nucleotide ribosomal RNA is filed under the name uncultured bacterium. Its description in RNAcentral is "partial 16S ribosomal RNA". It matches the Rfam family "Bacterial small subunit ribosomal RNA", at positions 28 to 523 of the family's 1533-position model. The record is from RNAcentral.
GAUGAACGCUGGCGGCGUGCUUAACACAUGCAAGUCGAACGAAGCACUUUGAAAGCUUGCUUUUAGAGUGACUGAGUGGCGGACGGGUGAGUAACUCGUGGGUAACAUGCCUUAUACAGGGGGAUAACAGUUGGAAACGACUGCCAAUACCGCAUAAGCGCACAGUGCCGCAUGGCACAGCGUGAAAAACUCCGGUGGUAUAAGAUGGACCCGCGUCUGAUUAUCGAGUUGGUGAGGUAACGGCUCACCAAGGCGACGAUCAGUAACCGGCUUGAGAGAGUGAUCGGCCACAUUGGGACUGAGACACGGCCCAAACUACUACGGGAGGCAGCAGUGGGGAAUAUUGCACAAUGGGGGAAACCCUGAUGCAGCAACGCCGCGUGAGUGAAGAAGUAUUUCGGUAUGUAAAGCUCUAUCAGCAGGGAAGAUAAUGACGGUACCUGACUAAGAAGCCCCGGCUAACUACGUGCCAGCCGCCGCGGUAA